AGGGAAGAGGGAAGAGGGAGGAAGCCCCUGGGAGGGAGCCAGGAUUCAGGGUUUCCAGGCACAGGCUGAACUCUGGCACUGAGAGAAAAGGCACUCUAGGGUUUGGGAGUGGACCACUUGAACUUGACCCUCAGAGCAGAUAUCCUAGAGUUCCAAGGAAGAAGGGCCAAACUGUGCCAAGAGCCACCUCCAGAACGCUGGUGCGGCGACACGGAGCAUGAAGGGUCCUUCCUCUGCCCGGCCCUGUUCUUGGGGAAAAAACGGGUUCCUGUUGGAACCUGGACUGCCCGGGAGGCUGGUGGUGGGUGGGGCAGAAGGAAUGCAGCCCUGGCUCUCAGCCCGGAGGCUUUUGAUCUGCCUGAGGCAGUCUUGGGGGGUGUACCUGGCUGGGCAGGGAGCUGUGACCAAGGGCUUGGUGGCUGAAUUCUGAAUUUGGUGUGGUAAACUC
Rattus norvegicus (Norway rat) is the source of this 448-nucleotide long non-coding RNA. RefSeq lists it as uncharacterized. Lineage: Eukaryota; Metazoa; Chordata; Mammalia; Rodentia; Muridae. The record is from RefSeq and is a predicted model, not a curated record.